Rosa rugosa (rugosa rose) is the source of this 1686-nucleotide long non-coding RNA. RefSeq lists it as uncharacterized. The record is from RefSeq and is a predicted model, not a curated record. Lineage: Eukaryota; Viridiplantae; Streptophyta; Magnoliopsida; Rosales; Rosaceae. The transcript is spliced from 3 exons.
AGAUUGAAUCACCAGACCAUGAUUAUCCGGCUCUCUGUCAUCUCACUGAUAUCAGGUGUCACAGGAUAAAAGAUCCAAGAGGAUUCAAGCUCGAUUUUGUCUUUGCUCCUGAUAAUCCUUUUUUUUUAAAUCAAAUCCUUACUAAAACAUACUAGGUGAUUGGUGACAACUCGUCUGUGGUGUUGAAAGCAAUUGGGUAAUUCUAGUUUCUGUUGUUGAUUAAUAAUGGCUUCUUCUUUUUCUUUUUUUUUGCCUGCUCAAGUUUGGGGUAUGUUGUAGGACGGAAAUUGAAUGGUAUGAUAAGAAAAGCUUGACAGAGAAACUUCUUUUAGUAAGGUUGCACAAAAGGUUGCACAAAGGUUCGCAUGUCGAAGUUAUAGAGAAGUGUCGAAGCUUCUUCAACUUCUUUGAAACAAAAACUUAUGAACAGGGUUUUAUCUUUGAUGAAGAAGCUGUAAGUUUGGGUUUCCUUUGUUGAAUUUAGUUAAUGAUGAUGUUAAAGGCUAGUUUUCUGAAUUAUUUGUUUAAUGGUGUUGAUGCAAAAUUUCGUUUGUAUCAAGUCAACAGGGUUCCGUUGAAAUCCGAGGUGGGGUAGAGGGGUAGGAUCUUGGAUGUGGGGUUUAUCUUCUCUCCAUAAGGUUGGCUGAUCGAUUCAACAUAGUGCUGCCCUAUCAGGCUCCGAUGAUCCAAUCAGAAAGAGAGAAGGAGGGGAAGUUUUUUUUGGUAUUUCCUCAAGUGAUCCAGGGACCUCGAAUGAAGGAAGAGUCCUUCUUUUUAUAGGGCUUGGAGGUGGUUGAGGUACACUGUUGGAGUAUGGGCUUGGCCCCGAAAAUAAGGGUGUCAGCUCCUUUCUUCUGACAUGCCAGUAGCAUGGGUUUGGUCGAGUGGGUGACAGAUGUCACCAUUUUGUGGUCUCCUCUAAUCACAUCAUCUUCAACCCACGUUUAUGGCCAUGCUGGUCAUGGGAUUGUGACAUUUGUCCAAUUAGGUGAGAUUUGCUCCUAGAUUUGAGUAAAUCAAGCCCUUGUGAUUGGUGAGCAAUCUCAUGUUGAGGGAGGCUCUGGCAGUCCAGCUGAGCAGUGCUGGUCGAUCAUGACAUUGCAGGCUUGGGUGAUGAUCGAGCUAUAUGAGUGACCUUCCAGUUCUAAGACUCAUGGCAUUCGAGUAACAAAGGUUGGGAGUUGAGGCUGAGAUUUAUUUAGUUGUAAUGUAUGAUUGAAUAUUUUCGUUCGACAUUUAUUAUUUUGUUGUCGUUGAAAAGUCAGAAUCCCUCGUGGAUACUUUAACUUUUCAACGCAUCUUACGUGUACAAGGUUUGAAAAGUUAUAGACAUUACCCUGUCCAAAUUCCGACACGAACAAAUGGAUGCCAUGUGUCAGGGUGAACUCAAAGGGCGGCUAGCUACCGAUGGAUUAUGUAAUUGGCCUUGCUAUUCGAAACCAAAUCAUUCCUCAUGCAGCAUUGUGGUACAAACUGGAAGAGGAGGAUUUUGUGCAAGAUGAUGAGACAAUCGAUGAUUGUAAGCCGGAGGAGCAUGCUGUCAUUUUGUCAUGCUCUUGAUGGGUGGAUGCACUUGCUUGGUCUACAUGAUUCUGCUUUUGAGAGUUUCGAGUGUUUGGUUUUGGCUCUUUUGAAAAUCUCAAAUGUCAAAGUUCUUGUAACUGUCUUUGUUAAUUGGAAUUUCCU